Molecule: small nuclear RNA, 106 nt
Filed under: Pogona vitticeps (central bearded dragon)
Lineage: Eukaryota; Metazoa; Chordata; Lepidosauria; Squamata; Agamidae
Source: RNAcentral
UUGGUCUAAGUAUAUUAAAUAUACUGAAAUUUGAACAAUACAGAGAAAAUUAGCAUGGCCCCUGCAAAAGGAUGACGUGCAAAUUCAUAAAGUAUUCUAGAAAGAA